Homo sapiens (human) is the source of this 1844-nucleotide long non-coding RNA. Ensembl annotates it as hepatocellular carcinoma up-regulated long non-coding RNA. Its record names the gene HULC. The record is from Ensembl. Lineage: Eukaryota; Metazoa; Chordata; Mammalia; Primates; Hominidae.
AUGGGGUAGAGACGCUAGGCCGGCACUGCCUAGGUGGGCCGGGCGGUGCGAGGGUCGCCUUUCAGCCUUUACCUCUACCCACUGAAAUGGAGUAGGUCGGUGAGCGCCGAUCUGCUGGAGAAUCUCAUUAUCCCAUCGGCGCUCUGCCUGCUCCUGGCCUCCAAGCCUCUGAAGCCCCUCGGGUUUCAGCUGCCGGCUACCCUCGAGCCCGUGGUGCCCACGAGAGAGGCGACUUUACGUCAGCGGCCCUGGGCUGAGAUUUGAGAACGCGACCAAGUGGAGAAUGUUGGAGCCAGAUUUUAAAAUCCUUGUCUUCCUUCUGCGUGCUACUUGAUCUAAAUGAGAUACGGCAAAGUCACAGAACCUGUUUUUAUGUUUUUGCCUGAUUCAUACGGGCUUCUCCGGUGAAGAUGGGCCUGAAGUAACGCUUGGGUUGCUUCUGACGUUAUAACUCAUCCUGUAGCUGCAGCAACCGUGGUCCUUGCAACCUCAUAAAAAUGUUGCCAGCAUUGUUUCGAUAGUGCUGCUUAAUUCUUGGAAGGUUCUUCGGACUUCACACAUUCCAGCAGUAGCUCUCUCAGCUCCUGUCCUGCACAGCUUUGAAGUGCUGGUGAUGUCAUUGAACUCUUAAGUGCAAGAUGAAACAAGUCUUUCUGGGGUUCUAAGUAGCGUCUUCAAAGUGUCUUCUGUAAAGACUUCUUCAGACUGUCAAUAGGAAGACUGAUAAACUCAGAGACUGCAUCUCACCAUGUUGCUCAGGCUGUUCUCGAACUCCUGGGCUCAAGCAAUCCUCCUACCUCAGCCUCUCAAAGUGUUGGGAUUAUAGAUGUGAGCCACUGUACCCGGCCCUGGUUGCAUUCUUCAUUAUUAGGAACAUAAGAGUCUAGCCCUGUCGCCCAGGCUGGAGUGCCAUGGUUUGAACUCUACUCACCGCAACCUCCACCUCCCAGGUUCAAAUGAUUCUCCUGCCUCAGCCUCCUGAAUAUCUGGGAUUACAGGCUGGAGUGCGAUGGCGCGAUCUCUACUCACUGCAACCUCCAUCUCCUGGGUUCAAGCAAUUCUCCCUCAGCCUCCCGAGUAGCUAGGACUACAGAGCCUCCCUCUGGAGCGAAGUGGCAUAAUCUCGGCUCACUGCAACCUCUGCCUCCCAGGUUCAAGCGAUUCUCAUGUCUCGGCCUCUUGAGUAACUGGGAUUACAGGUGUCUUUGUGAAGCUUCCUAUCUUUGCUUUUCAACUAAGAUGAAACAGCAUUUAAAAGAAAAUGCCAUGUGAGAUGAGAUCAGGAGAAUGGAUUCUUUCUUUCAUCUGAAUAGAGAGCUGCUGUUCGAGAUUCUAACUCAAAUAGCUCAAAGGACACCUUCUCCGGGAAACCUUCCCUGACUUCCGACGCUGUUUCCUGUUGGGCAUCUAUGUAAAUCAUUUGGAGUUUUUGCCUUUCCUCUUAGAAGAAAAAUAUGAAUGAUUUGACUGAACAGGCCUAUAGCCAAACCCAAGAUGAUCUUUCCAAGCGUGAACUCCAUCUUCAAACUUCUAGUGAGUCUGAGGCCGCAACUGGAAAAAUUUAGAAAUAAUUUCUAAUUCUUGAAAUCUUUGAAAUGUCAAAACAUUAAAACUUUAAGUUUUUGUAUCUUGUUUAAUGUUUAACAAUUUUCUGAAACUUUGGAAAUUAUGUAGGUAUUCUAUUUUGUUAGUUUGGCUUAGCAUAUAUAAAUAGAGCUAUGUCUACAUAUUAAUAGUAGUCUUGUUUUACCUUACCUUUGUUUUUUUGUUGUUGUUGUAUGCCAUCUAGAUCUUAAACCUUAAAGAAGAAACUAUGGCAAUGUCUCUUCCACCACUCUUGACUA